GUGUAACUAUACAUGUUUAGUGUAUAGCUGAGGCAUAUAGUGUAUAGUGUGCAUUGUGUAGUUUAUAGAAAGAGUGUGUAACGUGCAGUGUAUGAGUGUUUUGUAUGCACUACUACAAUAUGUUUUGCAUUGUGUAGUGUAAUAAGUGUAGUGUGUAAUGUAUGUAGAAUAUGUUGUGCAUUGUGUAGUCUAAUAAGUGUAGUGUGUAAUAUGUAGAAUGUGUCAUGUAUAGUGUGUUUAAAGUAUAGUGUGUAAUAUGUGGAAUGUGUAGUGUAUGGUGUGUGUAAAGUAUAGUGUGUAAUAUGUAGAAUGUGUAGUGUAUGGUGUGUGUAAAGUAUAGUGUGUAAUGUGUAGAAUGUGUAGUGUAUAGUGUCUGUAAAGUAGUGUGUAAUAUGUAGAAUGUGUAGUGUAUAGUGUGUAAAGUAUAGUGUGUAAUGUGUAGAAUGUGUAGUGUAUAGUGUGUGUAAAGUAUAGUGUGUAAUAUGUAGAAUGUGUAGUGUAUAGUGUGUGUAAAGUAGUGUGUAAUGUGUAGAAUGUGUAGUGUAUAGUGUGUGUAAAGUAGUGUGUAAUGUGUAGAAUGUGUAGUGUAUGGUGUGUGUAAAGUACAGUGUGUAAUAUGUAGAAUGUGUAGUGUAUAGUGUGUGUAAAGUAGUGUGUAAUGUGUAGAAUGUGUAGUGUAUAGUGUGUGUAAAGUAGUGUGUAAUGUGUAGAAUGUGUAGUGUGUGUGAAGUAGUGUGUAAUGUGUAGAAUGUGUAGUGUAUAGUGUGUGUAAAGUAUAGUGUGUAAUAUGUAGAAUGUGUAGUGUAUAGUGUGUGUAAAGUAGUGUGUAAUGUGUAGAAUGUGUAGUGUAUAGUGUGUAAUGUGUAGAAUGUGUAGUGUAUAGUGUGUAAAGUAUAGUGUGUAAUGUGUAGAAUGUGUAGUGUAUGGUGUGUGUAAAGUAGUGUGUAAUAUGUAGAAUGUGUAGUGUAUAGUGUGUGUAAAUUAUAGUGUGUAAUAUGUAGAAUGUGUAGUGUAUAGUGUGUGUAAAGUAGUGUGUAAUAUGUAGAAUGUGUAGUGUAUAGUGUGUGUAAAUUAUAGUGUGUAAUAUGUAGAAUGUGUAGUGUAUAGUGUGUGUAAAGUAGUGUGUAAUGUGUAGAAUGUGUAGUGUAUAGUGUGUAAUGUGUAGAAUGUGUAGUGUAUAGGGUCUGUAAAGAAGUGUGUAAUAUGUAGAAUGUGUAGUGUAUAGUGUGUGUAAAGUAGUGUGUAAUGUGUAGAAUGUGUAGU
This is a long non-coding RNA of Ictalurus punctatus (channel catfish), 1263 nucleotides long. The record is from Ensembl. NCBI's taxonomy places the organism in Eukaryota, Metazoa, Chordata, Actinopteri, Siluriformes, Ictaluridae.